GAGUUUGAUCGUGGCUCAGGAUGAACGCUGGCGGCGUGCCUAAUACAUGCAAGUCGAGCGAACGGAUAAGGAGCUUGCUCCUUUGAAGUUAGCGGCGGACGGGUGAGUAACACGUGGGUAACCUACCUAUAAGACUGGAAUAACUUCGGGAAACCGGAGCUAAUGCCGGAUAACAUUUGGAACCGCAUGGUUCUAAAGUAAAGAUGGUUUUGCUAUCACUUAUAGAUGGACCCGCGCCGUAUUAGCUAGUUGGUAAGGUAACGGCUUACCAAGGCAACGAUACGUAGCCGACCUGAGAGGGUGAUCGGCCACAUUGGAACUGAGACACGG
RNAcentral lists this ribosomal RNA (330 nucleotides) under uncultured bacterium. Its description in RNAcentral is "bacterial SSU rRNA". It matches the Rfam family "Bacterial small subunit ribosomal RNA", at positions 9 to 329 of the family's 1533-position model. The record is from RNAcentral.